CACAGACAUUCGCUGAAUCCCGGUCUUGCCGGGUACGGAGGAACCAAUUCUGGGGUUAAUCUAUGGAAAACCAUAGUAGGGAACCUUCUGUCCCGAGCCCGUCAGCUAACUUCGGAGGCAGGCAUUAUUAAACUU
This 135-nucleotide small RNA is filed under the name Clostridia bacterium. Its description in RNAcentral is "c-di-AMP sequence". It matches the Rfam family "c-di-AMP riboswitch aptamer (ydaO/yuaA leader)". From Rfam's summary of the family: This family represents a conserved RNA structure found upstream of the ydaO and yuaA genes in Bacillus subtilis and related genes in other bacteria. Lineage: Bacteria; Bacillati; Bacillota; Clostridia. The record is from RNAcentral.